UGAUCAUGUGAAAGGUUUGGUAAAAUUUAAAAUUUGAAACCGUUUAAAUUGAAAGUGAAAAAUUUGAUUGACUUGCACGAAAAGCCAAUUUUUACCAUUAAUUUAAUCAAGUUAAUCAAUAUUAAACCAUUGACCAUUAGUAUUUUACUUGCUUGUAAUCAACAUUGUUCCAGUUUUACUUUGAUAUGCUUUGUUUUCACUCUCAACCAGCUAUAAACUCCAUUCUGUCUUCAACUCUCUCUCUCUCUGUAAGUUACAAAUUGCGUGAACAAAACUGCUAAACUGUUAACCCAAAAUCUUUUGGGUUUAAUCAAAGGUACUUUUGAUGAUGAUGAUGAUUUUUUCAGUUCACCUUCUUACUCAUCUCAUCCUUAUAACCAAUCUUCAUCUGACCAUUUGAUAAAUUUGAUUAUGAUUUGACUCCACCUUGAAAAUGGUUCUUCAUUUUUCUUCUUCUCCUUCAAUUUUUCCUGAUUUUUUGAUUCCUCAUCAUCAUCAUUUACACAAGCCUACAGUUUCAUGGGAAAGCAACAAUUUAUCAGCUGAUUGCGUGAUUAGUGAAUCACAAGCAAGUCACAAUUAAACCUCACCUAUGUAUACAUAAUAUUUAAUCAAAUCAGUCAAGAACCCGAAAUGGAAAAGGAAAAGUGAAAAGUACAAAUUAUAACUAAGGAUACGAGCUUUUGGCUGAAGGAAAGCAAAGAAACGAUUUGAAUACGAUGUAACCUUAUGCAAACAAAACGAGGCUAAAAAAUGAUGGAAAAAUAUUACAUUUUCAAUGGAAAGAAGCUAAAUGGGAAUCAAAAAACGUUUAGCAAGAUCAACAGUGAUUUAAGCUGUUUUUUAAAGGAUUAACUUGGAUUAAGAGGAGCGCUUUUUUGUGAUGAGUCUCAUUGGGAACCAGAAAUAUUUACAAGAGGCCAACAACAAGGCAAUUGAAGAAGGAAAAAACGGAAUUGUAAAAUAAAAAGGAUCCCCAAAAAAUAGAGAAGAGGAAAAGAUGAUUACAAGCUUGAAUCUGAACGGAUAUUGAUGUUUAAAACUCGAUUCAACUGUAACAAAGAUUAGGCUGGAUAACGAAACUGGUCUUUCAGUUGUCAGUGUGAUAAAAGGACGGCGACAACAACGUUAAUCCAAGGAGGAUGUUGAACAUGCAAAUGUCUCUCCAAGAGGCUUGUUAAUAUUGUCAACAAAGGUGCUGUUGUUAUUGUUUACGGUGGUUUGGAAUCCGAUUCAAGAUGUGGUUCCUCCUCUUCACCCACACUUGGGUUAAUUGUGACAGAAGAAGAAAUUAUCUAAAAAAACUUAAUUUCUAAAAUCAAUGGAGUGAAUGGCAAAGUUGCUUAUCAUUAGGCCUUAUAAUCAUCAGCUUCAUCAGCAUCAUGAUUAUCCUCUCUUAUGUGCUGUUUAUGUUUUUCAUUUAUCUAUUUGAUGGUCCAUUGACUUAAUCAAUCAACCUUAAAUUGUAUCAUUAUUAUUUACCUUUGCUUUCUAAAAAGGAAAAGGAGAAAAGGGAAAAACAAAAAAGCUGUUGGCUGCCAAAAACGCUCAUUUUCACCUCUAACCAACACAGUGGAAAGAUGUGUUGUUGAUGAUUACACUGAUGGAAGGAGAAACAAAAUUUGCAUCCAAAGAGUAUCAUCAAAAUAGCUGUAAAAUGAUGAUGCAGGAUGGCAAAAGGAGAAAGUUUCAUCUCAACCAUAAUUUUAAUUUACAUUCUAUGGAUAAAAAGAACGAGAAAUUUAAUAUGGAAAACGCCACAAUGAUGAUAAGGAUGAGGAAAAUGUUUCAAUGGUAAAGCAAGGAAUACAAAGACGAUAAGAAUAUAGCUAAUUUGGUGAAACUAAUUUGCUGUUUAAUCGGCCUGCAGAUUGUUCAAUAUUUAAUCUAUCCGUUCAUUUGGAAAUCAAAUUUUCAAACCGAGCAGAGGAUGAAAAGAAAGAUGAUGAACAAGGAUGAGGGAGUGAGAGUUGAAAAAAAGAUGAAACCUGAAAACGCAAAUAAUGUCAUUAUUUUUGCAAAGCUUCAUUCGCUUUGCUGUAACCUUUCCAACUAUUCAAAUCUAAUGGUUGGCAAAAAAGGUCGAAUGACCUGGGUCAACUUGGAACGUCGUUUAAAUGGCUUUCAAAGAUGGGAUGAAGCAAAAAAUGCAAGGAAAUGCAAACAAACGCCGUAAAAAAAAGUACAAAGAGUCGAAAGUUGCUGUUAAAUGAAUUAUAAUAUUUUGCCAUCGACAGUCAACUGUAUUUACUCAACCAUAAACUAGUUACCUAAACAACAAGAGUCAAUAUUAAAUGUUGAAGAGAGUAAAAUGUUUCAAUGUAAUCAAUCUAGAGAAAAGCAAAGACGAAGAAUCUAUUCCAAUAACAUUCCUUAAUGUAAAAUAUAAUAUAUAACAGGGAAGGGAAAAAUUUUACAGUCAGUAUCAAAAAAAAAAGAGGAGACAGGAGAAGAAGUAGAUUGAAGAGUAAAAUCAUUGAACCAUUUUGCUGCUCUUGGGUCAAUAUAAUGGCCCUUUUUUUGCUGACUACUCACCAUCACCAUACAACCUUUAAGGUACCAAAUACGAUGACAAUUUACAUUACCAAGUUAUCGAUGUAAAUAUGUGUCAACUCUUAUUGUUAUUAUCACCAUUAUUAUUAACAUUAUCAUCAUUAAUAUAACUGGGAUUUUGCUUCUCAAUACAAAUUUUGCUGUUUCCUUUUCAAA
Non-coding RNA from Tetranychus urticae (two-spotted spider mite), 2709 nucleotides. NCBI's taxonomy places the organism in Eukaryota, Metazoa, Arthropoda, Arachnida, Trombidiformes, Tetranychidae. The record is from RefSeq and is a predicted model, not a curated record.